RNAcentral lists this ribosomal RNA (1312 nucleotides) under uncultured Actinobacteridae bacterium. RNAcentral describes it as "bacterial SSU rRNA". It matches the Rfam family "Bacterial small subunit ribosomal RNA", at positions 64 to 1379 of the family's 1533-position model. The record is from RNAcentral. Lineage: Bacteria; Bacillati; Actinomycetota; Actinomycetes.
GAACGAUGAAACCUUCUGUGAUCCUUCGGGUGAACUAUUGGCGGAUUAGUGGCGAACGGGUGAGUAACACGUGAGUAACCUGCCCCAAACUCUGGGAUAGCCUCGUGAAAACGGGAUUAAUACCGGAUAUUCUUCUUUGAAGGCAUCUUCGAAGAUGGAAAGUUUUUCGGUUUGGGAUGGACUCGCGGAUUAUCAGCUAGUUGGUGAGGUAAUGGCUCACCAAGGCUAUGACGAUUAUCGGGCCUGAGAGGGUGAACCGACACAUUGGGACUGAGACACGGCCCAGACUCCUACGGGAGGCAGCAGUGGGGAAUAUUGCACAAUGGGCGCAAGCCUGAUGCAGCGACGCCGCGUGAGGGAUGAAGGUUCUAGGAUCGUAAACCUCUGUCGUAAACUAGUAAAAUGAACAGUUUACAAGAAAGCACCGGCUAACUACGUGCCAGCAGCCGCGGUAAUACGUAGGGUGCAAGCGUUAUCCGGAAUUAUUGGGCGUAAAGAGCUUGUAGGUGGCGUACUGCGUCUGGUGUGAAAUCUCCCGGCUUAACCGGGAGCUUGCAUCGGGUACGGGUAUGCUAGAGUGUUGUAGGGGAGACUGGAAUUCCACGUGUAGCGGUGAAAUGCGCAGAUAUGUGGAGGAACACCAAUGGCGAAGGCAGGUCUCUGGGCAAUUACUGACACUGAGAAGCGAAAGUGUGGGGAGCGAACAGGAUUAGAUACCCUGGUAGUCCACACCGUAAACGUUGGGAACUAGACAUGGGCCUCAUUCAUCGAGGUCCGUGUCGCAGCUAACGCAUUAAGUUCCCCGCCUGGGGAGUACGGCCGCAAGGCUAAAACUCAAAGAAAUUGACGGGGGUCCGCACAAGCAGCGGAGCAUGCGGAUUAAUUCGAUGCAACGCGAAGAACCUUACCAAGGCUUGACAUAUAGUGGAAAGCUCCUAGAGAUAGGAGCCCUCUUUAUGACUGCUAUACAGGUGGUGCAUGGUUGUCGUCAGCUCGUGUCGUGAGAUGUUGGGUUAAGUCCCGCAACGAGCGCAACCCUUGUCCUGUGUUACCAUCAUUUAGUUGGGGACUCACAGGAGACUGCCGGUGUUAAACCGGAGGAAGGUGGGGAUGACGUCAAAUCAUCAUGCCCCUUACGUCUUGGGCUUCACGCAUGCUACAAUGGCUGGUACAAAGCGCUGCAAUACCGCAAGGUGGAGCGAAUCGCAUAAAACCAGUCUCAGUUCGGAUUGGGGUCUGCAACUCGACCCCAUGAAGUUGGAGUUGCUAGUAAUCGUAGAUCAGCAACGCUACGGUGAAUACGUUCCCGGAC